RNAcentral lists this small nucleolar RNA (129 nucleotides) under Tauraco erythrolophus (red-crested turaco). The record is from RNAcentral. Lineage: Eukaryota; Metazoa; Chordata; Aves; Musophagiformes; Musophagidae.
UUGGCCCUAAAUCAAGGCCACCAGCUUGCUGUAGCCGUUGGUUUCAAGCAGGAGCCCAGAGGAAACAUCUCCCAGUCUGUUGGCGCUCCGGUCCCCAUGGAACAGCCAAUUUGUGUGGGAGCAACAACU